GAUGAACGCUAGCGAUAGGCCUAACACAUGCAAGUCGAGGGGCAGCAUAGAGUAGCAAUACUUUGAUGGCGACCGGCGCACGGGUGAGUAACACGUAUGCAACCUACCUACAUCAGGGGAAUAACCCGGAGAAAUUCGGACUAAUACCGCAUAAUACAGGGAUGCCGCAUGGCAAUAUUUGUUAAAGAUUUAUCGGAUGUAGAUGGGCAUGCGUUCCAUUAGCUUGUUGGUGAGGUAACGGCUCACCAAGGCAACGAUGGAUAGGGGAACUGGGGGGUUUGUCCCCCACACUGGAACUGAGACACGGACCAGACUCCUACGGGAGGCAGCAAUGAGGAAUAUUGGUCAAUGGACGAGAUUCUGAACCAGCCAAAUCGCGUGAAGGAAGACUGCCCUACGGGUUGUAAACUUCUUUUGUACAGGAAUAAAAGACAUUACGUGUAAUGUAUUGCAUGUACUGUACGAAUAAGCAUCGGCUAACUCCGUGCCAGCAGCCGCCGUAA
This 503-nucleotide ribosomal RNA is filed under the name uncultured bacterium. RNAcentral's name for it is "partial 16S ribosomal RNA". It matches the Rfam family "Bacterial small subunit ribosomal RNA", at positions 28 to 523 of the family's 1533-position model. The record is from RNAcentral.